Molecule: ribosomal RNA, 253 nt
Filed under: uncultured bacterium
Lineage: Bacteria
Description: partial 16S ribosomal RNA
Rfam family: Bacterial small subunit ribosomal RNA
Source: RNAcentral
UACGGGGGGGGCAAGCGUUGUUCGGAAUUACUAGGCGUAAAGGGCUCGUAGGUGGCCAACUAAGUCAGACGUGAAAUCCCUCGGCUUAACCGGGGAACUGCGUCUGAUACUGGAUGGCUUGAGUUCGGGAGAGGGAUGCGGAAUUCCAGGUGUAGCGGUGAAAUGCGUAGAUAUCUGGAGGAACACCGGUGGCGAAGGCGGCAUCCUGGACCGACACUGACACUGAGGAGCGAAAGCCAGGGGAGCAAACGGG